Molecule: ribosomal RNA, 33 nt
Filed under: Pythium aphanidermatum
Lineage: Eukaryota; Oomycota; Peronosporomycetes; Pythiales; Pythiaceae
Description: partial 18S ribosomal RNA
Source: RNAcentral
CUUCCCGUAGGGUGAACCUGCGGAAGGAUCAUU